UCGCAUAGGAGAUCUCGUCAAGGAAUAUCGCAAAUCAGGUGAGCCUUGAUGUGGGGACUUGGGCCGGAGAGGAUUCAGAGUGGCCACGGUGAUCAUCUUUGGGCUUUUAAAUAAGUGUUGGUUUUCAUUUAAUUUCCUUUAAUUAUUAUUUAUUUUUGGGUUGUAAUAAGGCCAAUUUUAACUUUCCUUUUAUUUC
Molecule: long non-coding RNA, 196 nt
Organism: Gossypium arboreum
Lineage: Eukaryota; Viridiplantae; Streptophyta; Magnoliopsida; Malvales; Malvaceae
Exons: 2
Source: RefSeq, a predicted model, not a curated record